Molecule: non-coding RNA, 834 nt
Organism: Oryctolagus cuniculus (rabbit)
Lineage: Eukaryota; Metazoa; Chordata; Mammalia; Lagomorpha; Leporidae
Source: RefSeq, a predicted model, not a curated record
UUUGUUGGCUUUGCUUUCUAGUGGUUACAAGAGGCUACUGGAGAUGGAAGACGCUUGAAAGUUCAUGGGUGAGAAUGAGGGAGAGAUUGGCUAAGGAGGAGAGGGUACCUGGAAGGAACACAGGGUGAGGAGGCAGGGGCAGCAGGCACACAUUCUGCCCACCUUGUGAUUCUUGAAUGGGACCGAUUCUGCCCAGUCAGCACUACUCCAAAACAAAAGAAGGCAAAUAACCUGUGUGUGGCUGUUACUUGACCCUAGUGCACUACUUGAAUGGUUGAACUGACCGAGACUUAGGAAGCUGCUAUUGGGAAGGGUGGUUGGCAUUGCCAUCAGAAGUGUUUGCUCUAAAUCAUGACAUUCAUCUGUGCACAGCCGUCAGAGCAUCACUGUUUCCAGAGCACCUUUCGAAACUCAACUGCAGAGGUCAGAAAGCGGUACUGGCUGUUUAUACUGCUUCCCCCUCCCUCUGUGAGUUUCUUCAUUACCUGCGUCUCCUCUCCUGAACACAGCUAAGAAGCAUUCCUAGCCCUUGUGUCUAAAUGAGGUCAAGCAAUUGGGCAGGAUAUCAGAAGCUCCCUGCUAACGCACCUGGGAAAGCAGCAGAAGAUGGCCCAAGUGCUUGGGCCCCUGCAUCCACAUGGGAGACCCAGAUGAGGCUCUUGGCUCUGGCCCCACCCAGCCCUGGCCCUUCGACCAUUAAAGAGUGAACCAGUGGAUGGAAGAUCUCUUUCUCUUUCUCUGUCUCUCUCUUUGUCAGUCUACCUUUCAAGUAAAUAAAUACAUCUUUUUAACAAACAACAACAUAUAUAGUAUAUUUGCUUAUUUCCUUUUAUU